GAGACGCUGGCGGCGCGCCUAACACAUGCAAGUCGAGCGGAGAUAUACGAAGAGUAAUCCGAGUAUAUCUUAGCGGCGGACGGGUGAGUAACGCGUGAGUGACCUGCCUCUUACAGGGGAAUAACGUGCCGAAAGGCACACUAAUACCGCAUAAGACCACGAAACCGCAUGGUUAUGAGGUCAAAGGAGCAAUCCGGUAAGAGAUGGGCUCGCGUCCGAUUAGAUAGUUGGUGAGGUAACGGCCCACCAAGUCGACGAUCGGUAGCCGACCUGAGAGGGUGAUCGGCCACAUUGGAACUGAGAGACGGUCCAAACUCCUACGGGAGGCAGCAGUGGGGAAUAUUGGGCAAUGGGGGAAACCCUGACCCAGCGACGCCGCGUGAGGGAAGAAGGUUUUCGGAUUGUAAACCUCUGUUCUUGGUGAAGAGGGGAAGACGGUAGCCAAGGAGGAAGCCCCGGCUAACUACGUG
Molecule: ribosomal RNA, 470 nt
Filed under: uncultured bacterium
Lineage: Bacteria
Description: bacterial SSU rRNA
Rfam family: Bacterial small subunit ribosomal RNA
Source: RNAcentral